This 468-nucleotide ribosomal RNA is filed under the name uncultured bacterium. RNAcentral describes it as "partial 16S ribosomal RNA". It matches the Rfam family "Bacterial small subunit ribosomal RNA", at positions 28 to 507 of the family's 1533-position model. The record is from RNAcentral.
GACGAACGCUGGCGGCGUGCUUAACACAUGCAAGUCGAACGGAAAGGCCCUGCUUUUGUUGGGUUCUCGAUUGGCGAACGGGGGAGUAACACGUGAGUAACCUGCCCUUGACUUUGGGAUAACUUCAGGAAACUGGGGCUAAUACCCGGUAGGAGCUUCUGCUGCGUGGGGGGGGUUGGAAAGGUUCGGCCGUUGGGGAUCGUCUCGCGGGGUAUCAGCUUGUUUGGGGGGUAGUGGCUGACCAAGGCUUUGACGGGUAGCCGGCCUGAGAGGGGGACCGGCCACCUUGGGACUGCGAUACGGCGCAGACUCCUACGGGCGGCAGCAGUGGGGAAUCUUGCACAAUGGGCGGACGUCUGAUGCAGCAACGCCGCGUGCGGGAUGCUGGCCUUCGGGUUGUAAACCGAUUUCGCCUGUGACGAAGCGUGCGUGACGGUACUGGGUAAAGAAGCCACGGCUAACUACGUG